UGCAAGUCGAACGCAGUAGCAAUACUGAGUGGCAGACGGGUGAGUAACAUGUGGGAAUCUGCCUUGUGGUUCAGGACAACAUUGGGAAACCGAUGCUAAUACUGGAUAAGCCCUUACGGGGAAAGUUUUAAUGCCAUAAGAUGAGCCCGCAUUUGAUUAGUUAGUUGGUGAGGUAAUGGCUCACCAAGACAAUGAUCAAUAGCUGAUCUGAGAGGAUGAUCAGCCACACUGGGACUGAGACACGGCCCAGACUCCUACGGGAGGCAGCAGUGGGGAAUCUUGCACAAUGGAGGAAACUCUGAUGCAGCGAUGCCGCGUGAGUGAAGAAGGCCUUUGGGUUGUAAAGCUCUUUUGUAGGGGAAGAUAAUGACUGUACCCUAAGAAUAAGGUCCGGCUAACUUCGUGCCAGCAGGCGCGGGGAAUACGAAGGGACCUAGCGUAGUUCGGAAUUACUGGGCGUAAAGCGCGCGUAGGCCGUUGAGUUAGUUAAUUGUGAAAUCCCAAAGCUUAACUUUGGAACUGCAAUUAAAACUGCUCGACUAGAGUUUGAUAGAGGAAAGCGGAAUACAUAGUGUAGAGGUGAAAUUCGUAGAUAUUAUGUAGAACACCAGUUGCGAAGGCGGCUUUCUGGAUCAACACUGACGCUGAGGCGCGAAAGUAUGGGUAGCAAAGAGGAUUAGAUACCCUCGUAGUCCAUACC
This 700-nucleotide ribosomal RNA is filed under the name uncultured Alphaproteobacteria bacterium. Its description in RNAcentral is "bacterial SSU rRNA". It matches the Rfam family "Bacterial small subunit ribosomal RNA", at positions 56 to 801 of the family's 1533-position model. The record is from RNAcentral. Lineage: Bacteria; Pseudomonadati; Pseudomonadota; Alphaproteobacteria.